Poecilia latipinna (sailfin molly) is the source of this 844-nucleotide long non-coding RNA. RefSeq lists it as uncharacterized. NCBI's taxonomy places the organism in Eukaryota, Metazoa, Chordata, Actinopteri, Cyprinodontiformes, Poeciliidae. The transcript is spliced from 4 exons. The record is from RefSeq and is a predicted model, not a curated record.
CUUUGAGACAAGUCGUCCAGCAUGACCCAAAAGUGGCUGACCUGCUGUAAAACAUCUUCCCUUCCGCCGGUGCUGGACAUCAUACGAAGAUCCAGUCCAAGAAUUCAGCCACUUUGCUGUAAACCCCGGGAUGGUUCGGCUCAGCGCAGCCCGUCCCCCAACUUACGACUCCUGCAAGCCUCCACAAAUUUUCAUCCUGGCAAACAAGAGGGCCCCCGCUAUCCCCCUGAUAAGUCCUGAUGGAAAAGCCGCAGCGCUGCUCCUGUUCAUCGGUACGCCUGUGGCUGGGGAGGAAUGGAGGUCCGGCCCUGUUGAUUUGCCAUUUAACAGAAUGCAACUCUGGAUUUUCCCUCUCACAAAGGGACAAUGAGGAUUAACGUCCAGGUGAGCGGAUAAACUGAAAGGAAGAAAAUUCCUCCUCGUCACACUGACAGAGCUGACAGAGAGACAGCCCAGAUCUGUUUGACUCAUCUAGCAGCUGCCUGAAAGUUUUUCAAAUAAAACACAGAAUAAGAAGAAAUGUGGAAGGAUUAAUAUUCCAUUUGAUGGAGCUACAGCUGCGUUGAUGGUAUUAAUACGGUGCAGAAGCAUGUGAGCUGUAGUUGGGUAAUUUUCACAACCAUUUCAUGUCUCCCUCUUCUGGUGACUUUUUAUUCCACAUUGAGGAUUAUUUACACUGCUACAUUUAUUUAAUUCAUCUACUUAUAUAUACCUUACGAUUUUAGGAAAUCUGUUCAAGGAUAUGUCUGAAUUCAGUUUAAAAACCUUCAAUACUGAGAUAUUACAAACAAAGAGUUUCAGAUUAGGCUUGUGCAGCACUGAACUAGCGAUCUGUAAAAAAAAA